RNAcentral lists this ribosomal RNA (619 nucleotides) under Chlamydia pecorum. RNAcentral describes it as "partial Domain I of the 23S ribosomal RNA". It matches the Rfam family "Bacterial large subunit ribosomal RNA", at positions 1 to 609 of the family's 2925-position model. Lineage: Bacteria; Pseudomonadati; Chlamydiota; Chlamydiia; Chlamydiales; Chlamydiaceae. The record is from RNAcentral.
UACAGACCAAGUUAGUAAGAGCUAUUGGUGGAUGCCUUGGCAUUGAAAGGCGAUGAAGGAUGCGUUUACCUGCAUUAAUCUUCGGCGAGCUGGUAUAAAGCUAUGACCCGGAGGUUUCCGAAUGGGAAAACCCGAUAGAUUAAUAGUCUAUCAUUAUACGCUGAAUCCAUAGGCGUAUAAGGCGAAACCUACUGAACUGAAACAUCUUAGUAAGUAGAGGAAAAGAAAUCAAAGAGAUUCCCUGUGUAGCGGCGAGCGAAAGGGGAACAGUCUAAACCAUAUUUUUAAUAUGGGGUUGUAGGGUCGAUAACGUGAGAUCUUAAGUUUUAGUUGAAUAUUUCUGGAAAGUUGAACGAUACAGGGUGAUGGUCCCGUAAACGAAAAAACAAAAGACUCUAUUCGAUUCCUGAGUAGAACUAGACACGUGAAACCUAGUUUGAAUCUGGGGAGACCACUCUCCAAGACUAAAUACUAAUCAAUGACCUAUAGUGAACCAGUACUGUAAAGGAAAGGUGAAAAGAACCCUUGUUAAGGGAGUGAAAUAGAACCUGAAACCAGUAGCUUAUAAGCGGUCGAAGACCUAUAACUCUUCGGAGUGAUGGUUGACGGCGUGCCUUUU